GUGCUUGCUUUGGCAGGAUAUAUGCUCAAAUUGGAAUGAUACAGAGAAGAUUAGCAUGGCCCCUGCACAAGGGUGACAUGCAAAUUCUUGAAGCGUUUCAUGUUUUU
This is a small nuclear RNA of Otolemur garnettii (small-eared galago), 107 nucleotides long. Lineage: Eukaryota; Metazoa; Chordata; Mammalia; Primates; Galagidae. The record is from Ensembl.